AUACGGAGGAUCCGAGCGUUAUCCGGAUUUAUUGGGUUUAAAGGGUGCGCAGGCGGCCAUUUAAGUCAGCGGUUAAAUCGUGGGGCUCAACCCCAUUCUGCCGUUGAUACUGGGUGGCUUGAUUGCGGUCGAGGUUGGCGGAAUUCGUUGUGUAGCGGUGAAAUGCAUAGAUAUGACGAAGAACACCGAUUGCGUAGGCAGCUGACCAGACCGCAAAUGACGCUCAUGCACGAAAGUGCGGGGAUCGAACAGGAUUAGAUACCCUGGUAGUCCGCACAGUAAACGAUGAAUACUUGUUUUCGGCGAUAUAAUGUCGGAGGCAAAGCGAAAGCGAUAAGUAUUCCGCCUGGGGAGUACGCCGGCAACGGUGAAACUCAAAUGAAUGGACGGGG
RNAcentral lists this ribosomal RNA (392 nucleotides) under uncultured bacterium. Its description in RNAcentral is "partial 16S ribosomal RNA". It matches the Rfam family "Bacterial small subunit ribosomal RNA", at positions 523 to 918 of the family's 1533-position model. The record is from RNAcentral.